UUAAAACACUGACAAUUGAUUAAUUUUAAGCGGCUACAUUAUACAUAACAAACUGCAAAGAUUGAAGAUACAGUAUUACCCAUACUUUCCUGCAACUUAUCCAAUAUAUAGUUAAUUAAAUACGCCUUCGCCCAUUUAGUACUACUAAAUUGUAAAUUUCGACAUACUAAAACGCUGUUUUCUGACCAUCAGAAUUCGGUCAAAUCUUCCCC
This is a non-coding RNA of Paramuricea clavata, 212 nucleotides long. The record is from the annotation of a GenBank genome assembly. NCBI's taxonomy places the organism in Eukaryota, Metazoa, Cnidaria, Anthozoa, Malacalcyonacea, Plexauridae.